AGAACAUAAAGGAUACACCUUCAUGAAAAUUCGCCAAUUAGAAUAAAAUGUGCAACACAUAAAGGAUGAAAUUGCGCAAAGAAUGGUCCCUGGAAACCUAUGAGGAAAUGCUAGACUUUGAUAACAUUAAUUCUGAGGAACUUGUUCUAAAGCUUGGCAAAUUCUAUACUGAGGCAACCCCAAAUCUUGACCAAAAACGUUUUAAAACACGAAGCGAAUGGGCCAAAUCGCUCACCUGAGCAAGAAUAGACAUAACUAGACAACAUUGAGAUGGCAACCAUCUCAAAGGGCCCUGCUUAAAUAAUGGACUACAGGUGAAAAACAUUUCAGAGAAGUUUACUUUGACCUUGUCCUACAACUUAGAAAUUUUCCAGCUGGCAUAAAACUUUUAAUUUAAUCUCAUUACGCCUUACAAACAUACAUUUUUUUUUAACCUGAGCAAGAUCAAGCUAAUGGGAAAUAAUCUACGGUCUUAAACUGAUUAUAAAAAGAUUCGUUAUGACCUUCA
Long non-coding RNA from Magallana angulata, 508 nucleotides. RefSeq lists it as uncharacterized. The record is from RefSeq and is a predicted model, not a curated record. Lineage: Eukaryota; Metazoa; Mollusca; Bivalvia; Ostreida; Ostreidae. The transcript is spliced from 2 exons.